CGACUCACCACUACCCGUCCUCUUCCAGGUCAGUCACAGCUGAAGAUGUUUUCUGAACAUGAUGAGGAUCUGAAUGAGAAUGAAGAUGCACUUAUGAGUGUAGAGGCAGAGGCAGAUGCAGAAGCAGCAGCUGCAGAAGCAGGAGAUGAAUCUGUUUUGCAUAGUAUUAUUGAAGAUGAAGAUGCCGAACCAACAGUGGGUUUGCUGCUUGUGUAUUCCAUGGACUGAUGUUGCUUAUUAUCUUCUUUCUUUCUUUGCAUUGAAAUCUUAUUGCUGGACCAUGAAUCAUGAAUCUUCUUAAUUUGUGUCAUAUGAAUAUUGUUACUUGCUCUCAAAUGUAAACAUGUACUUGUACUUUGUUACUUGAUGUUGCAUAUAAACAUGUAUUGUUACUUUCUGCUAUCAAAUAUAAACAUGUAUUGGUACC
Triticum aestivum (bread wheat) is the source of this 427-nucleotide long non-coding RNA. RefSeq lists it as uncharacterized. NCBI's taxonomy places the organism in Eukaryota, Viridiplantae, Streptophyta, Magnoliopsida, Poales, Poaceae. The transcript has 2 exons. The record is from RefSeq and is a predicted model, not a curated record.